UAGAGCCGUGUGCCGCGAGAGUCGCAUGCACGGUUUCGGAGGGAAGAUCGAUGGGUAAUUGCUUUCCCGAC
This 71-nucleotide non-coding RNA is filed under the name Leptolyngbya sp. PCC 7375. Lineage: Bacteria; Bacillati; Cyanobacteriota; Cyanophyceae; Leptolyngbyales; Leptolyngbyaceae. The record is from RNAcentral.